This 812-nucleotide ribosomal RNA is filed under the name uncultured Troglodytella. RNAcentral's name for it is "SSU rRNA". It matches the Rfam family "Eukaryotic small subunit ribosomal RNA", at positions 84 to 1022 of the family's 1831-position model. Lineage: Eukaryota; Ciliophora; Litostomatea; Entodiniomorphida. The record is from RNAcentral.
UCUCUGCGAAUGGCUCAUUACAACAGUUAUAGUUUAUUUGAUACAACAAAUGGAUAACUGUAGAAAAACUAGAGCUAAUACAUGCUUUAACCGCAAGGUUGUAUUUAUUAGAUAUUCCAGAUUGGUGAAUCAUAAUAACUUCGCAAAUCUCGUUUUAUGACGAGAUAAACCAUCCAAGUUUCUGCCCUAUCAUGCUUUCGAUGGUAGUGUAUUGGACUACCAUGGCUUUCACGGGUAACAGGGAAUUAGGGUUCGAUUCUGGAGAAGGAGCCUGAGAAACGGCUACUACAUCUACGGAAGGCAGCAGGCGCGUAAAUUACCCAAUCCUGACUCAGGGAGGUGGUGACAAGAUAUAACAACACCAUUAAAAUGGUGAUUGUAGUGAGGGUAUUCUAAACCGAACCACUAGUACGAUUAGAGGGCAAGUCUGGUGCCAGCAGCCGCGGUAAUUCCAGCACUAAUAGCGUAUAUUAAAGUUGCUGCAGUUAAAAAGCUCGUAGUUGGAUUUCAAGGACAGUAAACCCCUCUCGGGGAUACUUCCUACUAGUCUUUGACUGUUACUGUGAGAAAAUUAGAGUGUUUCAAGCAGGCUUUUGCAAGAAUACAUUAGCAUGGAAUAACGAAUGUAUAUAGAAUCUUGGUUAAUUCUGUAUUACGAUUAAUAGAGACAGUUGGGGGCAUUAGUAUUUAAUUGUCAGAGGUGAAAUUCUUGGAUUUGUUAAAGACUAACGUAUGCGAAAGCAUUUGCCAAGGAUGUUUUCAUUUAUCAAGGACGAAAGAUAGGGGAUCAAAGACAAUCAGAUACUGUCCGG